This 989-nucleotide ribosomal RNA is filed under the name Enterococcus faecium. Its description in RNAcentral is "partial 23S ribosomal RNA". It matches the Rfam family "Bacterial large subunit ribosomal RNA", at positions 153 to 1143 of the family's 2925-position model. The record is from RNAcentral. Lineage: Bacteria; Bacillati; Bacillota; Bacilli; Lactobacillales; Enterococcaceae.
AUUGUGUGAAUACAUAGCACAUUCGAGGUAGACGCAGAGAACUGAAACAUCUAAGUACCUGCAGGAAGAGAAAGAAAAUUCGAUUCCCUGAGUAGCGGCGAGCGAAACGGGAAAAGCCCAAACCAGCAAGCUUGCUUGUUGGGGUUGUAGGACUCCAAUAUGGUAGUUCUUUCAGAUAGUCGAAUGACUUGGAAAAGUCAGUCAAAGAGGGUAAAAACCCCGUAGACGAAAUGUGGAAGACACCUAGGAGGAUCCUGAGUACGGCGGAACACGAGAAAUUCCGUCGGAAUCCGGGAGGACCAUCUCCCAAGGCUAAAUACUCCCUAGUGACCGAUAGUGAACCAGUACCGUGAGGGAAAGGUGAAAAGCACCCCGGAAGGGGAGUGAAAUAGAACCUGAAACCGUGUGCCUACAACAAGUCAAAGCCCGUUAAUGGGUGAUGGCGUGCCUUUUGUAGAAUGAACCGGCGAGUUACGAUUGCAUGCGAGGUUAAGUUGAAGAGACGGAGCCGCAGCGAAAGCGAGUCUGAAUAGGGCGUUUGAGUAUGUAGUCGUAGACCCGAAACCAUGUGAUCUACCCAUGUCCAGGUUGAAGGUGCGGUAAAACGCACUGGAGGACCGAACCCACGUACGUUGAAAAGUGCGGGGAUGAGGUGUGGGUAGCGGAGAAAUUCCAAACGAACUUGGAGAUAGCUGGUUCUCUCCGAAAUAGCUUUAGGGCUAGCCUCGGAAUUGAGAAUGAUGGAGGUAGAGCACUGUUUGGACUAGGGGCCCAUCUCGGGUUACCGAAUUCAGAUAAACUCCGAAUGCCAUUCAUUCAUAUCCGGGAGUCAGACUGUGAGUGAUAAGAUCCAUAGUCGAAAGGGAAACAGCCCAGACCACCAGCUAAGGUCCCAAAAUAUAUGUUAAGUGGAAAAGGAUGUGGGGUUGCACAGACAACUAGGAUGUUGGCUUAGAAGCAGCCACCAUUUAAAGAGUGCGUAAUAGCUC